CUCCUACGGGAGGCAGCAGUAGGGAAUCUUCGGCAAUGGACGGAAGUCUGACCGAGCAACGCCGCGUGAGUGAAGAAGGUUUUCGGAUCGUAAAGCUCUGUUGUUAGAGAAGAACGUUGGUAGGAGUGGAAAAUCUACCAAGUGACGGUAACUAACCAGAAAGGGACGGCUAACUACGUGCCAGCAGCCGCGGUAAUACGUAGGUCCCGAGCGUUGUCCGGAUUUAUUGGGCGUAAAGCGAGCGCAGGCGGUUCUUUAAGUCUGAAGUUAAAGGCAGUGGCUUAACCAUUGUACGCUUUGGAAACUGGAGGACUUGAGUGCAGAAGGGGAGAGUGGAAUUCCAUGUGUAGCGGUGAAAUGCGUAGAUAUAUGGAGGAACACCGGUGGCGAAAGCGGCUCUCUGGUCUGUAACUGACGCUGAGGCUCGAAAGCGUGGGGAGCAAACAGGAUUAGAAACCCCGGUAGUCCGAA
Molecule: ribosomal RNA, 471 nt
Filed under: Streptococcus agalactiae
Lineage: Bacteria; Bacillati; Bacillota; Bacilli; Lactobacillales; Streptococcaceae
Description: bacterial SSU rRNA
Rfam family: Bacterial small subunit ribosomal RNA
Source: RNAcentral